AGUGAACGCUGGCGGUAGGCCUAACACAUGCAAGUCGAACGGCAGCACAGUAAGAGCUUGCUCUUACGGGUGGCGAGUGGCGGACGGGUGAGGAAUACAUCGGAAUCUACUUUUUCGUGGGGGAUAACGUAGGGAAACUUACGCUAAUACCGCAUACGACCUACGGGUGAAAGCAGGGGAUCUUCGGACCUUGCGCGAUUGAAUGAGCCGAUGUCGGAUUAGCUAGUUGGCGGGGUAAAGGCCCACCAAGGCGACGAUCCGUAGCUGGUCUGAGAGGAUGAUCAGCCACACUGGAACUGAGACACGGUCCAGACUCCUACGGGAGGCAGCAGUGGGGAAUAUUGGGCAAUGGGCGCAAGCCUGAUCCAGCCAUACCGCGUGGGUGAAGAAGGCCUUCGGGUUGUAAAGCCCUUUUGUUGGGAAAGAAAAGCAGCAGGUUAAUACCCCGCUGUUCUGACGGUACCCAAAGAGUAAGCACCGGCUAACUUCGUG
Molecule: ribosomal RNA, 492 nt
Filed under: uncultured bacterium
Lineage: Bacteria
Description: partial 16S ribosomal RNA
Rfam family: Bacterial small subunit ribosomal RNA
Source: RNAcentral